GAUGAACGCUGGCGGCGUGCCUAAUACAUGCAAGUCGAGCGAACAGAUCAGGAGCUUGCUCCUUUGACGUUAGCGGCGGACGUGUGAGUAACACGUGGAUAACCUACCUAUAAGACUGGGAUAACUUCGGGAAACCGGAGCUAAUCCCGGAUAACAUAUUGACCCGCAUGGUUCAAUAGUGAAAGGCGGCUUUGCUGUCACUUAUAGAUGGAUCCGCGCCGUAUUAGCUAGUUGGUAAGGUAACGGCUCACCAAGGCAACGAUACGUAGCCGACCUGAGAGGGUGAUCGGCCACACUGGAACUGAGACACGGUCCAGACUCCUACGGGAGGCAGCAGUAGGGAAUCUUCCGCAAUGGGCGAAAGCCUGACGGAGCAACGCCGCGUGAGUGAUGAAGGUCUUCGGAUCGUAAAACUCUGUUAUCAGGGAAGAACAAAUGUGUAAGUAACUGUGCACAUCUUGACGGUACCUGAUCAGAAAGCCACGGCUAACUACGUG
Molecule: ribosomal RNA, 497 nt
Filed under: uncultured bacterium
Lineage: Bacteria
Description: partial 16S ribosomal RNA
Rfam family: Bacterial small subunit ribosomal RNA
Source: RNAcentral